RNAcentral lists this ribosomal RNA (253 nucleotides) under uncultured bacterium. Its description in RNAcentral is "partial 16S ribosomal RNA". It matches the Rfam family "Bacterial small subunit ribosomal RNA", at positions 524 to 776 of the family's 1533-position model. The record is from RNAcentral.
UACGAAGGGGGCUAGCGUUGCUCGGAAUCACUGGGCGUAAAGCGCACGUAGGCGGCUUCUCAAGUCAGGGGUGAAAUCCUGGAGCUCAACUCCAGAACUGCCUUUGAUACUGAGGGGCUCGAGUCCGGGAGAGGUGAGUGGAACUGCGAGUGUAGAGGUGAAAUUCGUAGAUAUUCGCAAGAACACCAGUGGCGAAGGCGGCUCACUGGACCGGUAUUGACGCUGAGGUGCGAAAGCGUGGGGAGCAAACAGG